Scleropages formosus (Asian bonytongue) is the source of this 439-nucleotide long non-coding RNA. RefSeq lists it as uncharacterized. The transcript has 3 exons. Lineage: Eukaryota; Metazoa; Chordata; Actinopteri; Osteoglossiformes; Osteoglossidae. The record is from RefSeq and is a predicted model, not a curated record.
GGUGAGCAGCGCGAGGCGGCCGGCCCGUGCGCUGCGGUGACGUCACGCUGCGAAGCGCGCGACCGAGGUCUCGCGGAGUCUCUGCGGAAAGCACCUGCUCCAUCUGCUGCGAAUGGUCCGUCUCCCGUGCCAAACAACUACAGACAGUCUCGGCUUGCUGACCGCCUUCUUCGUACCACGGAGAGCUGCGACCGAUCGCCUGGAGACGGAAUUUAACUCAACCUCCUUUUCAUGGGCGAAGGACAAAAUAUUGCAGCAUUUCCCCAGCAGGGAGUGGAAUGCGUUUCAUGUAUUUAAUGCAGAAUUCUUCUUUUGUGUCCAACUGUAGAAAAAAUGCACUUUCGGAUAAUGGACAGGUCUUUGCCCCAGCUCAGUGCCACAUGGGCCACACUAAACAUCUGAUCAGGUGCGAAGGCACCUUCCAGUUUCAUUUGCAUAU